AGUUUGAUCCUGGCUCAGGAUGAACGCUAGCUACAGGCUUAACACAUGCAAGUCGAGGGGAAACGACAUCGAAAGCUUGCUUUUGAUGGGCGUCGACCGGCGCACGGGUGAGUAACGCGUAUCCAACCUGCCCACCACUUGGGGAUAACCUUGCGAAAGUAAGACUAAUACCCAAUGACGUCUCUAGAAGACAUCCGAAGGAGAUUAAAGAUUUAUCGGUGAUGGAUGGGGAUGCGUCUGAUUAGCUUGUUGGCGGGGUAACGGCCCACCAAGGCGACGAUCAGUAGGGGUUCUGAGAGGAAGGUCCCCCACAUUGGAACUGAGACACGGUCCAAACUCCUACGGGAGGCAGCAGUGAGGAAUAUUGGUCAAUGGGCGAGAGCCUGAACCAGCCAAGUAGCGUGCAGGAUGACGGCCCUAUGGGUUGUAAACUGCUUUUAUAAGGGAAUAAAGUGAGUCUCGUGAGACUUUUUGCAUGUACCUUAUGAAUAAGGACCGGCUAAUUCCGUGCCAGCAGCCGCGGUAAUACGGAAGGUCCGGGCGUUAUCCGGAUUUAUUGGGUUUAAAGGGAGCGUAGGCCGGAGAUUAAGCGUGUUGUGAAAUGUAGACGCUCAACGUCUGCACUGCAGCGCGAACUGGUUUCCUUGAGUACGCACAAAGUGGGCGGAAUUCGUGGUGUAGCGGUGAAAUGCUUAGAUAUCACGAAGAACUCCGAUUGCGAAGGCAGCUCACUGGAGCGCAACUGACGCUGAAGCUCGAAAGUGCGGGUAUCGAACAGGAUUAGAUACCCUGGUAGUCCGCACGGUAAACGAUGGAUGCCCGCUGUUGGUCUGAAUAGGUCAGCGGCCAAGCGAAAGCAUUAAGCAUCCCACCUGGGGAGUACGCCGGCAACGGUGAAACUCAAAGGAAUUGACG
This 915-nucleotide ribosomal RNA is filed under the name uncultured bacterium. RNAcentral's name for it is "bacterial SSU rRNA". It matches the Rfam family "Bacterial small subunit ribosomal RNA", at positions 10 to 915 of the family's 1533-position model. The record is from RNAcentral.